UACGUAGGGUGCAAGCGUUGUCCGGAAUUAUUGGGCGUAAAGAGCUCGUAGGCGGUUUGUCGCGUCUGCUGUGAAAACUCGGGGCUUAACCCCGGGCCUGCAGUGGGUACGGGCAGACUAGAGUGCGGUAGGGGAGAUCGGAAUUCCUGGUGUAGCGGUGAAAUGCGCAGAUAUCAGGAGGAACACCGGUGGCGAAGGCGGAUCUCUGGGCCUUACCUGACGCUCAGGUGCGAAAGCUAGGGGAGCGAACAGG
This 253-nucleotide ribosomal RNA is filed under the name uncultured bacterium. RNAcentral's name for it is "partial 16S ribosomal RNA". It matches the Rfam family "Bacterial small subunit ribosomal RNA", at positions 524 to 776 of the family's 1533-position model. The record is from RNAcentral.